This 253-nucleotide ribosomal RNA is filed under the name uncultured bacterium. Its description in RNAcentral is "partial 16S ribosomal RNA". It matches the Rfam family "Bacterial small subunit ribosomal RNA", at positions 524 to 776 of the family's 1533-position model. The record is from RNAcentral.
UACGUAGGGUGCGAGCGUUAAUCGGAAUUACUGGGCGUAAAGCGUGCGCAGGCGGUGCUGUAAGACCGAUGUGAAAUCCCCGGGCUUAACCUGGGAACUGCAUUGGUGACUGCAGCGCUGGAGUAUGGCAGAGGGGGGUGGAAUUCCACGUGUAGCAGUGAAAUGCGUAGAGAUGUGGAGGAACACCGAUGGCGAAGGCAGCCCCUGGGCCAAUACUGACGCUCGAUGCACGAAAGCGUGGGGAGCAAACAGG